RNAcentral lists this ribosomal RNA (490 nucleotides) under uncultured bacterium. RNAcentral describes it as "partial 16S ribosomal RNA". It matches the Rfam family "Bacterial small subunit ribosomal RNA", at positions 30 to 507 of the family's 1533-position model. The record is from RNAcentral.
AUUGAACGCUGGCGGCAGGCCUAACACAUGCAGGUCGAACGGUAACAGGAAGAAGCUUGCUUCUUUGCUGACGAGUGGCGGACGGGUGAGUAAUGUCUGGGAAACUGCCUGAUGGAGGGGGAUAACUACUGGAAACGGUAGCUAAUACCGCAUGACGUCGCAAGACCAAAAAGGGGGACCUUCGGGCCUCUUGCCAUCGGAUGUGCCCAGAUGGGAUUAGCUAGUAGGUGGGGUAACGGCUCACCUAGGCGACGAUCCCUAGCUGGUCUGAGAGGAUGACCAGCCACACUGGAACUGAGACACGGUCCAGACUCCUACGGGAGGCAGCAGUGGGGAAUAUUGCACAAUGGGCGCAAGCCUGAUGCAGCCAUGCCGCGUGUAUGAAGAAGGCCUUCGGGUUGUAAAGUACUUUCAGCGGGGAGGAAGGGAGUAAAGUUAAUACCUUUGCUCAUUGACGUUACCCGCAGAAGAAGCACCGGCUAACUCCGUG